GGUGGGGCUCCGGGGCGGCUCCGCCCUUGCUCUGCUCCUCGCCCCCGGCGACCCCGCCAGACACCCCGCUGAGGCUAGGAGGUCAGCGGUGCCGCCUCCGUACGGAAAAUAGGCCCAGUUCCCGCGCCCCAUCCCCGGCCCCCGCGCCCCCUAGGUGCUGAGCGCCCAGCCCCGGGCUGCCGGGUAGGGCCUCACGGGCAAGCGGGCGAAUGGGAAGAGUCGAGGCCGCAGAGCAAGGUCUUUGAGAGGUCGGGCCUCGACCUUGUCUGUCGGCGUCGCCACAGACCUCGUCCUGGGCAGGGGUCCUCUGCCGCUUCCAGCCCGAAGGGGGCCUCGGGCGGGGCGCUGACGGGCUAGUGCGUGGGGCCUGUGCUCUGCGGGCGCAGGGGCGACAGGAGCGCGCCCUCUCCUCUGGCCCGCCGCAGCGCAAGUGGCCGGCGCCCGCCCACCCGGCGCUCAUCAACCCCCAAGCUGGAUUCAGUCACCUGCCGGCGGCUUCGGGACAGCCCGGAAAAGGGGGAAACAGGGAUGAUCAAGAUCGCGGUUUAUGUGAAGAUGAAAGAAGAGUAAUAUCAGUUCACUAAGGACUUGAAGAUGAAGACCUGGGACAUAUUAGCUCCUAUGAUAUUUCUUACCCAGUUUGCAUCCUCUGAGACUUCCUCUGAGUCUGUAACCGCUCUGGCUUCCCAUGAAAUGUGCCUUUAGGCCAAGAAUACCCUGGAGAGAAGCCGAGUAUCCUUCCACUGCUGCCUAUAUUGGUAAAGAAGCUGGUGUAUGGUGUGGUGCUUCAGCCUCUGAGCUUCGCUAACCCAGUCAGACUGGGGAGACAGACCUGCUCACAGGGCUGGUCAGUCAGGUCUCUGAGCCCACAUGGCUGAGGCCAACCCCAGACCCUGCAGGAACAGAGCCUGAUACUGAGUCUAAACCUCUGGACAAUUGGAAAUGUAUGAGAAUAACCUUGGCAAGUUUGUAAACGAAGAACGAGGAGGAGAGAUUAGCACGUUAAACUCUUUAAGAGAUUGGCAAAAAUGAAAAAUAAAAACCUGGUAAUACCCUGUGUUGCAAGAGCAUGAGGAAAUGAGCACUGUCACGUGCUGAUGGUGAGAGUGUGAAUCGGUAAUGUUGCCGAAAUAUCGGCUUCCUGUGCACCAAUGCCGAACAGAAAUACAGAGACAGAGAUUUUGGAGGAAGAGAGGGAUGGCUUUAUUUUUCUUCCAUGCGCAAGGGAAGACAGAGCAUGCAGCGCCUCAAGAACUGUGCCCCUCUGUCCUGGGGAAUUACAGGGGGUCUUAUAGGUGGAACCCGCAGUCCAGGGUAAGUGAAAAGGAUCAAAGUGGUGAAUGUCUUGCAUUCUUCUUCUUCUUCCAAUAUUUUAAAAGUUACUGCUGGCGUCAGGCAGCCUGGUAAUUGGGUCUGUUCAUCUCUGGGUUAUCGGCCUGCGACCUUCUUUCUGAAAUGUAAACAGCUAAGAGGGGUGAUUUGCUACAAGAGAAUGCAGCAAGAGUAAGUGCCAGGUGCAGGGUACAAUUCAUAUGGAAUCAGAGAGUAAUUGGUUUUGCUUAGCUUUGUGA
Long non-coding RNA from Aethalodelphis obliquidens (Pacific white-sided dolphin), 1571 nucleotides. RefSeq lists it as uncharacterized. The record is from RefSeq and is a predicted model, not a curated record. The transcript has 4 exons. Lineage: Eukaryota; Metazoa; Chordata; Mammalia; Artiodactyla; Delphinidae.